Molecule: ribosomal RNA, 493 nt
Filed under: uncultured bacterium
Lineage: Bacteria
Description: bacterial SSU rRNA
Rfam family: Bacterial small subunit ribosomal RNA
Source: RNAcentral
GUGGCGGACGGGUGAGUAACGCGUGGGCAACCUACCCUUUAGCCCGGGAUAGCUUCCGGAAACGGGAGCUAAUCCCGGAUGCGGAGCAAGGGACGCAUGUUCGUUGCUCGAAAGCUACGGCGCUAAAGGAUGGGCCCGCGUCCCAUUAGCUAGUUGGUGAGGUAACGGCUCACCAAGGCGACGAUGGGUAGCCGGCCUGAGAGGGUGGACGGCCACACUGGGACUGAGACACGGCCCAGACUCCUACGGGAGGCAGCAGUAGGGAAUCUUGCGCAAUGGGCGAAAGCCUGACGCAGCGACGCCGCGUGAGGGAAAAAGGCCUUCGGGUCGUAAACCUCUGUCCUUGGGGACGAUGAUGACGGUACCCAAGGAGGAAGCCCCGGCUAACUACGUGCCAGCAGCCGCGGUAAUACGUAGGGGGCGAGCGUUGUCCGGAAUUACUGGGCGUAAAGGGUGCGUAGGCGGCAAGGUAAGUCCUGUGUGAAAGGUCGCG